Molecule: ribosomal RNA, 492 nt
Filed under: uncultured bacterium
Lineage: Bacteria
Description: partial 16S ribosomal RNA
Rfam family: Bacterial small subunit ribosomal RNA
Source: RNAcentral
AGUGAACGCUGGCGGUAGGCCUAACACAUGCAAGUCGAACGGCAGCACAGUAAGAGCUUGCUCUUACGGGUGGCGAGUGGCGGACGGGCGAGGAAUACAUCGGAAUCUACUUUUUCGUGGGGGAUAACGUAGGGAAACUUACGCUAAUACCGCAUACGACCUACGGGUGAAAGCAGGGGAUCUUCGGACCUUGCGCGAUUGAAUGAGCCGAUGUCGGAUUAGCUAGUUGGCGGGGUAAAGGCCCACCAAGGCGACGAUCCGUAGCUGGUCUGAGAGGAUGAUCAGCCACACUGGAACUGAGACACGGUCCAGACUCCUACGGGAGGCAGCAGUGGGGAAUAUUGGACAAAGGGCGCAAGCAUGAUCCAGCCAUACCGCGUGGGUGAAGAAGGCCUUCGGGUUGUAAAGACCUUUUGUUGGGAAAGAAAAGCAGCAGGUUAAUACCCCGCUGUUCUGACGGUACCCAAAGAAUAAGCACCGGCUAACUUCGUG